RNAcentral lists this ribosomal RNA (724 nucleotides) under Aslintesta camelus. Its description in RNAcentral is "partial 16S ribosomal RNA". It matches the Rfam family "Bacterial large subunit ribosomal RNA", at positions 714 to 2555 of the family's 2925-position model. The record is from RNAcentral. Lineage: Eukaryota; Metazoa; Mollusca; Gastropoda; Stylommatophora; Camaenidae.
CCCGAAACCACAUGAGCUAAUUAGCUCAAGAUUUUAGUAAGUGUAUGUUGCAGAAUAUAUAAAGAGGGUUAAUUAGGGGUGAUAGGCCUCUCACGUAUGGUGAUAUCUUGAUUCUUCGAAAGGUUUAGUAUAAGGCCAGACCUAGAAUGACAAGGUUUUAGGUUAUUAUCAAUUUUAAUUAUUGUAUAACAUAGAUAUAACUAUUGGUGAAUAUUAAUAAAACUAUAUCAUUUAAAGUUUUAUAGUAUCUAGGGGAUGAUAAUGAAAUAUUCAUCUUAUUCAUAAUGUUAACAUAAGUAGUUUUGUAGAUAUUGCUGGUGAACUCGGCAAAAGGGCUUUCAACUGUUUAUCAAAAACAUAGCCCAGUGAUAAUACAUUGGGUGAUUUCUGCUCAAUGAGAUAUUAAAUAGCCGCAGUACCCUGACUGUGCAAAGGUAGCGAAAUCAAUUGGCUUCUAAUUAAAGUCCUGCAUGAAAGAAUAUAUGGGGGCCCACUAUACAGCUAUAUAUAAUGAAUUUACUUAGUGAGUGCAAAUUCUCAUAAAAAAAUAAUAGACGAGAAGACCCUAGAAAUUUUAACAAAUGUUUUUGUUGGGGCAACAUAGUAGCAGUUAACCUACUUUAAGUAUAUGAAAUAAAUUAGAUAAAUUAAAUUACUCUAGGGAUAACAGCAUAAUCUAAUAAGGUUUGUGACCUCGAUGUUGGACUAGGGAAUCGUAGUUUAG